RNAcentral lists this ribosomal RNA (465 nucleotides) under uncultured bacterium. RNAcentral describes it as "bacterial SSU rRNA". It matches the Rfam family "Bacterial small subunit ribosomal RNA", at positions 338 to 795 of the family's 1533-position model. The record is from RNAcentral.
CCUACGGGGUGCAGCAGUGGGGAAUAUUGCACAAUGGGCGCAAGCCUGAUGCAGCCAUGCCGCGUGUAUGAAGAAGGCCCUCGGGUUGUAAAGUACUUUCAGCGGGGAGGAAGGCGAUAAGGUUAAUAACCUUGUCGAUUGACGUUGCCCGCAGAAGAAGCACCGGUUAACUCCGUGCCAGCAGCCGCGGUAAUACGGAGGGUGCAAGCGUUAAUCGGAAUUACUGGGCGUAAAGCGCACGCAGGCGGUCUGUCAAGUCGGAUGUGAAAUCCCCGGGCUCAACCUGGGAACUGCAUUCGAAACUGGCAGGCUAGAGUCUUGUAGAGGGGGGUAGAAUUCCAGGUGUAGCGGUGAAAUGCGUAGAGAUCUGGAGGAAUACCGGUGGCGAAGGCGGCCCCCUGGACAAAGACUGACGCUCAGGUGCGAAAGCGUGGGGAGCAAACAGGAUUAGAUACCCUCGUAGUC